Molecule: ribosomal RNA, 119 nt
Filed under: Pteropus alecto (black flying fox)
Lineage: Eukaryota; Metazoa; Chordata; Mammalia; Chiroptera; Pteropodidae
Also listed under: 1 other name
Source: RNAcentral
GUUGAUGGCCAUGCCACCCUGAACAAGCCCAAUCCCGUCUGAUCUCAGAAGCUAAGCAGUGUCGGGCCUAGUUAGUACUUGGAUGGAAGACCACCUAGGAAGACCAGGUGCUGUAGGCA